ACGAACGCUGGCGGCGUGCCUAACACAUGCAAGUCGAGCGAGAAAGGGGGGGGCAACCCCCCUGAGUAGAGUGGCGAACGGCUGAGUAACGCGUAAGUAACCUACCCUUAAGUGGGGGAUAACUUGCCGAAAGGCAGGCUAAUACCGCAUGUGCUGGUAAGCGCUAGCUUAUCAGCAAAGCUUUUGCGCUUGAGGAGGGGCUUGCGUCUGAUUAGAUAGUUGGUAGGGUAAUGGCCUACCAAGUCGAUGAUCAGUAGCUGGUCUGAGAGGACAACCAGCCAGACGGGGACUGAGAUACGGCCCUGACUCCUACGGGAGGCAGCAGCAAGGAAUUUUGCGCAAUGGGCGAAAGCCUGACGCAGCGACGCCGCGUGGGGGAUGACGGCCUUCGGGUUGUAAACCCCUUUUCAUGAGGAAGAAAUAUGACGGUACUCGUGGAAUAAGUCUUGGCUAACUACGU
This 460-nucleotide ribosomal RNA is filed under the name uncultured bacterium. RNAcentral's name for it is "bacterial SSU rRNA". It matches the Rfam family "Bacterial small subunit ribosomal RNA", at positions 29 to 506 of the family's 1533-position model. The record is from RNAcentral.